RNAcentral lists this ribosomal RNA (253 nucleotides) under uncultured bacterium. Its description in RNAcentral is "partial 16S ribosomal RNA". It matches the Rfam family "Bacterial small subunit ribosomal RNA", at positions 524 to 776 of the family's 1533-position model. The record is from RNAcentral.
UACGUAGGGACCAAGCGUUGUUCGGAUUUACUGGGCGUAAAGGGCGCGUAGGCGGCGUGACAAGUCACUUGUGAAAUCUCCGGGCUUAACUCGGAACGGCCAAGUGAUACUGUCGUGCUAGAGUGCAGAAGGGGCAAUCGGAAUUCUUGGUGUAGCGGUGAAAUGCGUAGAUAUCAAGAGGAACACCUGAGGUGAAGACGGGUUGCUGGGCUGACACUGACGCUGAGGCGCGAAAGCUAGGGGAGCAAACGGG